This 343-nucleotide long non-coding RNA is filed under the name Gossypium barbadense (sea-island cotton). RNAcentral's name for it is "long non-coding RNA (GBAR_LNC000937)". Lineage: Eukaryota; Viridiplantae; Streptophyta; Magnoliopsida; Malvales; Malvaceae. The record is from RNAcentral.
UCUUUUCACCACCCUCCUUCACUCUUCAGCAGAAUCAUUUCGUUUUUCUUCGAAUCCUAAACCACAUCCAAUCGAGAAAAAAAUUGCAGAAACAGCAAGAAAAAUGUUUUUAAUGCAGCAGCUGAAGAUCAAACAGAAACCACCGGUUACCCCAACCUCUCAUUUUCAGUUCUGAAAAUGGUGAUGGAGCAAGAGGGGAUGAAUGAAAUUGGUGAGCUGUUGGAAGAAGAAGAAAGAAGUAAGAACGAAAUUCAUAGGAAGUGAAAGAAGCUUAAUUUCGCUGUAUUGGAUGAAAAUAAGGACGAGUUCAUCGAUGCAAAGGCGUUCAGGAAUGAACUGUUUU